UACGUAGGGUGCGAGCGUUGUCCGGAAUUAUUGGGCGUAAAGAGCUCGUAGGCGGUGUGUCACGUCUGCCGUGAAAACCUGCAGCUUAACUGUGGGCGUGCGGUCGAUACGGGCAUCACUGGAGUUCGGCAGGGGAGACUGGAAUUCCUGGUGUAGCGGUGAAAUGCGCAGAUAUCAGGAGGAACACCGGUGGCGAAGGCGGGUCUCUGGGCAUGUCCUGACGCUGAGGAGCGAAAGUGUGGGGAGCGAACAGG
This 254-nucleotide ribosomal RNA is filed under the name uncultured bacterium. RNAcentral describes it as "partial 16S ribosomal RNA". It matches the Rfam family "Bacterial small subunit ribosomal RNA", at positions 524 to 776 of the family's 1533-position model. The record is from RNAcentral.